Molecule: long non-coding RNA, 653 nt
Organism: Carya illinoinensis
Lineage: Eukaryota; Viridiplantae; Streptophyta; Magnoliopsida; Fagales; Juglandaceae
Exons: 3
Source: RefSeq, a predicted model, not a curated record
CCACCCCUAGGAGUUGUCCUUUGGGUUUCCAAUGCAAACCCAUCCAAGAGAAGUAGAAGAGCCACCGUACCAAGUGGCAUUCAUGCAUGAGACUUUUGGGAGGAAUAGAAGCUUCUCUUUUUAAAGGGGCAAUUGAAAAAAGGUGGGAGGCCUUUUUGCUCUAUUCUUCAUUUUCUUUCCUAAGGGUUUUAGCACACAUAAGUUCUCCCAAGCCCUACAAUUUCUCAUCACUUUCUCAUGACCAAAUGCCACCAUUUCGCUUCUUCUAAGUCAAGAAGUACAAGAAGGAUACCCUACACCAUUCGGCUAGGGAUAGAGUUCAAGAAGAUUUCUUUUGCUAAGUAUAUACAAUUGGAUUUUAAGUUGUGACAGGACUAGAUGACCAAACAGAAGAGGACGGCACUCCCUCCGGAGAGGAUAAUGCCGAAAAUGGAGGUUAACUCUUCCAAGCUUUCGAUCCCAAGCUUUUGGAGUCCAUCGACAAGACCCUCACUGAAGCCUUACAACUCAUUGAUGCACUUAAGUGACUCAGGAACCUAAGAAGGGAUUGGUUCCUCGAUAGAAGGAUUAAGCCAGAAAGGCUUUAGUUUUGGGAUCAAGUGUUAUGAGGGUUUUAUUUUGGAGACAAAAUUAUAUUUUGGAUGGUCCCUUGU